UGGGGAAUAUUGGACAAUGGGCGAAAGCCUGAUCCAGUCAUGCCGCGUGUGUGAAGAAGGUCUUCGGAUUGUAAAGCACUUUAAGUUGGGAGGAAGGGCAGUAAGCGAAUACCUUGCUGUUUUGACGUUACCGACAGAAUAAGCAACGGCUAACUCUGUGCCAGCAGCCGCGGUAAUACAGAGGGUGCAAGCGUUAAUCGGAAUUACUGGGCGUAAAGCGCGCGUAGGUGGUUCGUUAAGUUGAAUGUGAAAGCCCCGGGCUCAACCUGGGAACUGCAUCCAAAACUGGCGAGCUAGAGUAGGGCAGAGGGUGGUGGAAUUUCCUGUGUAGCGGUGAAAUGCGUAGAUAUAGGACGGAACACCAGUGGCGAAGGCGACCACCUGGGCUCAUACUGACACUGAGGUGCGAAAGCGUGGGGAGCAAACAGG
RNAcentral lists this ribosomal RNA (429 nucleotides) under Pseudomonadota bacterium. RNAcentral's name for it is "Proteobacteria bacterium partial 16S ribosomal RNA". It matches the Rfam family "Bacterial small subunit ribosomal RNA", at positions 355 to 776 of the family's 1533-position model. The record is from RNAcentral. Lineage: Bacteria; Pseudomonadati; Pseudomonadota.